Molecule: ribosomal RNA, 163 nt
Filed under: Grammosciadium macrodon
Lineage: Eukaryota; Viridiplantae; Streptophyta; Magnoliopsida; Apiales; Apiaceae
Description: 5.8S ribosomal RNA
Rfam family: 5.8S ribosomal RNA
About the family: 5.8S ribosomal RNA (5.8S rRNA) is a component of the large subunit of the eukaryotic ribosome. It is transcribed by RNA polymerase I as part of the 45S precursor that also contains 18S and 28S rRNA. Functionally, it is thought that 5.8S rRNA may be involved in ribosome translocation.
Source: RNAcentral
AAACGACUCUCGACAACGGAUAUCUCGGCUCUCGCAUCGAUGAAGAACGUAGCGAAAUGCGAUACUUGGUGUGAAUUGCAGAAUCCCGUGAACCAUCGAGUCUUUGAACGCAAGUUGCGCCCGAAACCAUUAGGUUGAGGGCACGUCUGCCUGGGUGUCACGU